AAUAGGCUUGUCGCCACUCUAAUGGUGGCAAAUUUUCUGGUAAUGUUCACUUGACGUAAGUUUUUUCCCUGCCCUAGAUUUCCCACCCAUGGUACUAGCAUACCUGGGAAAACUGGGGCUCUGUAAGUCUCCAGCGUUUGUAGUCCCUCGGGGCAAAUAUUCAAAUAAAAUUCUAUAGCAAUGAUGUAACAGUAAAGUGGCCUGCUAUGGUCCUCGAAUUUAAUCAAGCUUACUAAAGGAAAGUUCUUUUAGCUUCUGUUUCAUUGCUGUUGAUUGUGAUGGUGGUGACACAGCAUCUUAAACAAUUAUUUGAUGGAUGGUUCCUCUACCCUGCCGUCACACUAGAGCGCUGUUGCCAGGAAAUGACUGCCAAACCCAACAUCACUCACCCCGGCAGCUUUCUGGACUCUAGCACCUAUCACCUAUAAUCUGCUGAUAAGAUAAAGAGACAUUCUGAUUUUUUUAAAGAUAGGUGUUGGGGGGCAACGGGGGAGCAAAUAGCUCAGCAUCCACGAAGAGGUGAAGCCCUACUGCCCGGUAACAGUGCUAUUCUUCGGCUAGAAGACAGCUCUCAGAAGUUUGCUUCCCCUGUGACCUUGUGGAAUCCAGGAACUGAACUCAUGUCUAAUGACAUGAUUUCGUCAAGAAUCUCUCGACCACAGAAAACAGCAUUAUUUAAGAGUUCCUUGCAGGA
This 694-nucleotide small RNA is filed under the name Rattus norvegicus (Norway rat). RNAcentral's name for it is "uncharacterized LOC108351748". The record is from RNAcentral. Lineage: Eukaryota; Metazoa; Chordata; Mammalia; Rodentia; Muridae.